This 195-nucleotide microRNA precursor is filed under the name Anopheles dirus. RNAcentral describes it as "microRNA mir-598". The record is from RNAcentral. Lineage: Eukaryota; Metazoa; Arthropoda; Insecta; Diptera; Culicidae.
UCAUGGUGGUACUGUGGCUGGUAGUGGUGCUGGGGCUGAGGAGCCUGGUAUCCCUUAAUGGGUUCACGAUGAACCUGAGCGAUGAAUCCGCUCUUUCCCUCAACGUGGUACGUGACGGUACGCUUGUGGCCAUCGUGAGCCCAUCAAGGGAUACCAGGCUCCUCAGCCCCAGCACCACUACCAGCCACAGCACCA